UGUAACCAUGGGAUGAACAAACCUUUACCUGUCUGUGCUACUGGAAGGUCUGCCAGAUUCCGAAGGGGAAAGUUGACUUUGACACCUCCUCAGAAGCAUGACUCGCACAAAGCCUGCUGCUUCUCUCAUGUGGGAGGCAGAAAACGUCUUCGUCCAGCAGUGAGGCAUGCACAGAGAGAAAGAGAUUGUUUAAAACACAGAAGAUAUUAAAAUAGAUAAGGAGGAAAGUGGGAAAAGCUGCAGAGAACCACUGACUGUCCCAUGUCCAGGAGCACACAGGUCCAGCAAAGUCCAUUCGGCAUGCACAAAAUGAGUUUCUCAACAGAGUAAGUGUCUAGUGCUCCUUUAGCUCAAAAUACCUGGUUUUGGCAUAUUAUUGCAAUAGUCCCACAUGCAGAUGCAGCAAGAGACGACUGCUGAGCUCAUCGCUACGCAGUGUCUUUUUUGUCCUGUUAGUUUUCCGCCAGUUCAGUGAACUGAAUUGGCUCAUGGAAGCAUCUCCAGUGCCAGAAACAUCAGUGAACAGAGAGUAGCAGUGGAAUCAAGACUGGCACUUCUGAUAGCUUUUAGGGUAAGCCAGACAUGCUGGUU
Molecule: long non-coding RNA, 591 nt
Organism: Cuculus canorus (common cuckoo)
Lineage: Eukaryota; Metazoa; Chordata; Aves; Cuculiformes; Cuculidae
Exons: 3
Source: RefSeq, a predicted model, not a curated record